RNAcentral lists this ribosomal RNA (440 nucleotides) under uncultured bacterium. RNAcentral describes it as "partial 16S ribosomal RNA". It matches the Rfam family "Bacterial small subunit ribosomal RNA", at positions 339 to 795 of the family's 1533-position model. The record is from RNAcentral.
CUACGGGGGGCUGCAGUCGGGAAUAUUGCGCAAUGGAGGAAACUCUGACGCAGUGACGCCGCGUAUAGGAAGAAGGUUUUCGGAUUGUAAACUAUUGUCGUUAGGGAAGAUAAAAGACAGUACCUAAGGAGGAAGCUCCGGCUAACUACGUGCCAGCAGCCGCGGUAAUACGUAGGGAGCAAGCGUUAUCCGGAUUUAUUGGGUGUAAAGGGUGCGUAGACGGGAAGACAAGUUAGUUGUGAAAUCCAUCGGCUUAACUGAGGAACUGCAACUAAAACUAUUUUUCUUGAGUGUUGGAGAGGAAAGUGGAAUGCCUAGGGUAGCGGUGAAAUGCGUAGAUAGUAGGAGGAACACCGGUGGCGAAGGCGACUUUCUGGACAAUAACUGACGUUGAGGCACGAAAGUGUGGGGAGCAAACAGGAUUAGAUACCCCGGUAGUC